RNAcentral lists this ribosomal RNA (253 nucleotides) under uncultured bacterium. Its description in RNAcentral is "partial 16S ribosomal RNA". It matches the Rfam family "Bacterial small subunit ribosomal RNA", at positions 524 to 776 of the family's 1533-position model. The record is from RNAcentral.
UACGAAGGGGGCUAGCGUUGCUCGGAAUUACUGGGCGUAAAGCGCACGUAGGCGGCUCUUUAAGUCGGGGGUGAAAUCCUGGAGCUCAACUCCAGAACUGCCUUCGAUACUGAAGAGCUUGAGUCCGGGAGAGGGAUGCGGAAUUCCAGGUGUAGCGGUGAAAUGCGUAGAUAUCGGGAGGAACACCAGUGGCGAAGGCGGUUACCUGGAGCUUUGCUGACGCUGAUGCGCGAAAGCGUGGGGAGCGAUCCGG